AAAUAGAUACCCUGGUAGUCCACGCCGUAAACGAUGAGUGCUAAGUGUUAGGGGGUUUCCGCCCCUUAGUGCUGCAGCUAACGCAUUAAGCACUCCGCCUGGGGAGUACGGUCGCAAGACUGAAACUCAAAGGAAUUGACGGGGGCCCGCACAAGCGGUGGAGCAUGUGGUUUAAUUCGAAGCAACGCGAAGAACCUUACCAGGUCUUGACAUCCCAUUGACCACUAUGGAGACAUAGUUUUCCCUUCGGGGACAACGGUGACAGGUGGUGCAUGGUUGUCGUCAGCUCGUGUCGUGAGAUGUUGGGUUAAGUCCCGCAACGAGCGCAACCCUUGUUCUUAGUUGCCAUCAUUUAGUUGGGCACUCUAAGGAGACUGCCGGUGACAAACCGGAGGAAGGUGGGGAUGACGUCAAAUCAUCAUGCCCUUAUGACCUGGGCUACACACGUGCUACAAUGGACGGUACAAACGGUUGCCAAACCCGCGAGGGGGAGCUAAUCCGGAUAAAACCGGUUCUCAGUUCGGAUUGUAGGCUGCAACUCGCCUACAUGGAACG
This 555-nucleotide ribosomal RNA is filed under the name uncultured bacterium. RNAcentral's name for it is "bacterial SSU rRNA". It matches the Rfam family "Bacterial small subunit ribosomal RNA", at positions 776 to 1327 of the family's 1533-position model. The record is from RNAcentral.